This 88-nucleotide non-coding RNA is filed under the name Seinonella peptonophila. RNAcentral describes it as "ZTP sequence". It matches the Rfam family "ZMP/ZTP riboswitch aptamer (pfl RNA motif)". From Rfam's summary of the family: Previously known as pfl RNA. The record is from Rfam by way of RNAcentral. Lineage: Bacteria; Bacillati; Bacillota; Bacilli; Caryophanales; Thermoactinomycetaceae.
ACCGAUUGCAGUGACUGGCGAUAGAAAAGUGGAACUGACCACGGGGAAACUGCUAUCUUAGAAUCUGCCGUUCGCCUGGGCAAUAAUG